This is a small nucleolar RNA of Myotis lucifugus (little brown bat), 125 nucleotides long. The record is from Ensembl. NCBI's taxonomy places the organism in Eukaryota, Metazoa, Chordata, Mammalia, Chiroptera, Vespertilionidae.
AAAGUAAUACCUCACUGACCUAAAGUAAAUCCCAGGAGGAGUUCUUCCUGGGCUUUGAAUUUGCAGUAACAGGUGUGAACAUUCUAGAGGCAGUUGGAUGAUCAUGUAUGAUACUGCAGACAAGA